CUCAGUUCGGAUUGAAGGCUGAAAUUCGCCUUCAUGAAGCCGGAAUUGCUAGUAAUGGCAGGUCAGCAUACUGCCGUGAAUACGUUCCCGGGCCUUGUACACACCGCCCGUCACACCAUGAGAGUUGGGAAUACCCGAAGCCUGUGAGCUAACUGUAAAGAGGCAGCAGUCGAAGGUAGAAUCAAUGAUUGGGGUGAAGUCGUAACAAGGUAUC
RNAcentral lists this ribosomal RNA (214 nucleotides) under uncultured bacterium. Its description in RNAcentral is "partial 16S ribosomal RNA". It matches the Rfam family "Bacterial small subunit ribosomal RNA", at positions 1287 to 1500 of the family's 1533-position model. The record is from RNAcentral.